Molecule: ribosomal RNA, 409 nt
Filed under: uncultured bacterium
Lineage: Bacteria
Description: bacterial SSU rRNA
Rfam family: Bacterial small subunit ribosomal RNA
Source: RNAcentral
GUGCCAGCCGCCGCGGUAAUACGGAGGGUGCAAGCGUUAUCCGGAUUCAUUGGGUUUAAAGGGUGCGCAGGCGGAUUAUUAAGUUAGUGGUGAAAUCCCGGGGCUCAACCUCGGAACUGCCAUUAAUACUGGUAAUCUGGAAUACGGUUGAAGUGGGCGGAAUGUAGCAUGUAGCGGUGAAAUGCAUAGAGAUGCUACAGAACACCGAUCGCGAAGGCAGCUCACUAAGCCGAUAUUGACGCUCAGGCACGAAAGCGUGGGGAGCGAACAGGAUUAGAUACCCUGGUAGUCCACGCCGUAAACGAUGAUAACUCGUUGUUGGCGACACACAGUCAGCGACUAAGCGAAAGCGAUAAGUUAUCCACCUGGGGAGUACGAUCGCAAGGUUGAAACUCAAAUGAAUUGACGG